AAAGGCUCCGGCGCCUCAGCAUGGGUCUGCGGCCUAUCAGGGUAGUAGUGGGUGUAAAGUACCUACUAGCCUACGACGGGUACGGGUUGUGAGAGCAAGAGCCCGGAGAUGGAUUCUGAGACAUGAAUCCAGGCCCUACGGGGUGCAGCAGGCGCGAAAACUUUACAAUGCGGGCAACCGCGAUAAGGGGACCUCGAGUGCUGGGUUACAAACCUGGCUGUUGGGCUGCCUAAAAAGCAGUCUAUAGCAAGGGCCGGGCAAGACCG
RNAcentral lists this ribosomal RNA (266 nucleotides) under uncultured Methanosarcina sp. Its description in RNAcentral is "partial 16S ribosomal RNA". It matches the Rfam family "Archaeal small subunit ribosomal RNA", at positions 189 to 454 of the family's 1478-position model. The record is from RNAcentral. Lineage: Archaea; Methanobacteriati; Methanobacteriota; Methanomicrobia; Methanosarcinales; Methanosarcinaceae.